AGCGAACGCUGGCGGCAGGCCUAACACAUGCAAGUCGAACGGAUCCUUCGGGAUUAGUGGCGGACGGGUGAGUAACACGUGGGAACGUGCCCUUUGGUUCGGAACAACUCAGGGAAACUUGCGCUAAUUCCGGCUGUGCCCUUCGGGGGAAAGAUUUAUCGCCAUUGGAGCGGCCCGCGUCUGAUUAGCUAGUUGGUGAGGUAACGGCCCACCAAGGCGACGAUCAGUAGCUGGUCUGAGAGGAUGAUCAGCCACACUGGGACUGAGACACGGCCCAGACUCCUACGGGAGGCAGCAGUGGGGAAUCUUGCGCAAUGGGCGAAAGCCUGACGCAGCCAUGCCGCGUGAAUGAUGAAGGUCUUAGGAUUGUAAAAUUCUUUCAGCGGGGACGAUAAUGACGGUACCCGCAGAAGAAGCUCCGGCUAACUUCGUG
Molecule: ribosomal RNA, 433 nt
Filed under: uncultured bacterium
Lineage: Bacteria
Description: partial 16S ribosomal RNA
Rfam family: Bacterial small subunit ribosomal RNA
Source: RNAcentral